Molecule: non-coding RNA, 1082 nt
Organism: Nicotiana tabacum (common tobacco)
Lineage: Eukaryota; Viridiplantae; Streptophyta; Magnoliopsida; Solanales; Solanaceae
Source: RefSeq, a predicted model, not a curated record
AUGGCUUUUAGUGGCAAAUAUUUGGUGGCAAUAAGAUAAUUGCCGCUAAUUCACUUAAUAAAGUCAAAUAUUUGGGGGCAAUUGACCAUUUGCCGUUAAUAAAAAUAUUUUUGUGGCAAUGGAGAAGAACAGACUAAGGAUCAUUUUUUAUGUCUUCUCUCCAUUUUUUUCCCUCGAUUGAGAAGAAUGUUUUAUUUCUCUUCAGAAUCAAUUUACUCAAUUAGUCCUUUUUGCUAAACAAAAUUUUGCCCAUAUAACACUUUGAGCGAUCGUGAUACCGUCUCCGAUCAAUCUCUGACAAACCCGCUAUGCCUUUCUCCGGUGAAAAUGACUGGUUGUGUUGUUAUCUCGGGUGUUAAGGAAGUGCAAUAUGACUGUUGUAUUAGCAGGUUACAAAAAAAUAUUUGAUAUCUUCUCGAGUUGGAAUGCUAGUUCAGCAUUGAUGAGAAUUUAGGUCAAAGGAAGAGGAGGAUACGCUAUAUGAAGUACAACUAAUUUCCAACCCAACACUAUAGAUUGCUGGCAUCUAUUUUGGAGGCUGCUGUUUCUAUUAAAGUUAGUAAGAUACCUGAGAAUGUUGGAAAGCUUAUAACGGUGCUACUCUAAGAAGUCUUUUGAUGGAGUGAUGGACCAAGGAUUGAUCUUCUAGACAAAGCGUUAAGGAUGGUAGACCGUUGGAUGAGGAGUCUUCAAAUACAGUUGUAUGAUUUCUUAUACAAUUUUAUAGUGGCUCACUCUUCACUAAGAAUUUAUACAAGAAUAUUCGACUCAAGAUCAUGCUAAAUAUAGAUGCCGAGAAUAUCACAUCGUCAAUGAGGGAGAAGAAGAUCAAGAAUAUCACAUUGUUAAUAAGGGAUGUGGUCUACAACCUAAAGUUUAGUUGUCUUGUACAUUAGGAUGCUUACAUCUUUUACAAGUCGCUAUAUGAGUUGAUGUGUUGAGUUUGAUAGUUCUUGUUUUAAGUGAAUGACAUUAUGAGUGAUAAUUCUUCUAGUAUGAGCCUUGUAACUGAUUGUUCUUGUGUUUGAUGUUAUAAAAUAGUACUCGGUUAAAUAUGUGAAUUGAAGUGAAUUUAUGGUCAA